Molecule: ribosomal RNA, 255 nt
Filed under: Escherichia coli
Lineage: Bacteria; Pseudomonadati; Pseudomonadota; Gammaproteobacteria; Enterobacterales; Enterobacteriaceae
Description: partial 16S ribosomal RNA
Rfam family: Bacterial small subunit ribosomal RNA
Source: RNAcentral
CCAGAGAUGGAUUGGUGCCUUCGGGAACUGUGAGACAGGUGCUGCAUGGCUGUCGUCAGCUCGUGUUGUGAAAUGUUGGGUUAAGUCCCGCAACGAGCGCAACCCUUAUCCUUUGUUGCCAGCGGUCCGGCCGGGAACUCAAAGGAGACUGCCAGUGAUAAACUGGAGGAAGGUGGGGAUGACGUCAAGUCAUCAUGGCCCUUACGACCAGGGCUACACACGUGCUACAAUGGCGCAUACAAAGAGAAGCGACCU